AUGUGUUCAAUUGAAAAAAUUUUAGUGUCAAUAGUUUUGUUCACCAUUUUACGAUUGGAAACAUAUCUUUGUGCAAAAAACAAUAGCAAAAUCAUAAUGGCGGAUGCUAAGGAAAAUUAUAAAUUCUUGAUAACCGGCGGUUAUCGUCCUAAGAUAGAUACUUUGGCAAAAUAUGUUGUCUCCAUACGGGGAAGCAAACACAAAUGGUUUUUUGGAGAUGAUCACAAAUGUGGCGGCUCCAUAAUCUCACCCAAAGUUAUUCUGACCGCAGCACAUUGUGUCUGUAGGCGCCACAGCCGAAUACGGCUGAAACCGUCAGAUUUAACGGUCGUGGCGGGAACCCCGAAGCGUUUGGUACCAACUGAAACAACACAAGUCUUAAAAGUUGAUAAAAUUAUACGACACGUCUACUACAAGCCUUUAACUUUUCGAAAUGAUAUUGGUAUAUUGUUGUUGGUAAAAAAUAUAUAUGAAGACGGCGUUGCCGUGCAGAGGAUUAGUUUGCAAACCCACCCAUUACCGCCUUAUACUAAAUGCACCGUGCUUGGCUGGGGUCGAAUUUUUUUCAGGGGCCCGAUGCCAGAUGUAAUAUUACAUGUGGAUGUCUAUAUAUUGCCAGACAAUUACUGUGACGCUAGAACUGACAAAUAUGCUUUUGGCAUGAUGUGUGCUGGCGAUUUGGAUGAUCCUGAGAAAGAUUCGUGCAGUGGUGAUUCGGGUGGUCCGCUGAUAUGUAAUGGCAGUGUAACGGGCAUUGUAUCAUUUGGCGUUAAAUGUGGUAUACCCGAACAUGCCGGUUAUUACACCGAUGUGACUUCGUAUCUUGAUUGGAUUCGUGCGAACGGUUUCAGUAAAUUGAGACCUGUAAAUUUGAUUUUGCUAGUUGUAUUACAAAUUCUCUUAAUGAAAGGUGUGUGAAGCGCAUAACUGACAAUUACAUAGAAAAUUAACGGUUGUUGUUAUUGCAACAGUUAAAUUAAACUAAGUUUUAUGAGAAAAGAGUUUUUAUGUGUCAGAAGAGGAGUCAGGAAUGCAGAGUUGACAACGUUUUAAUGCAGGUGAGCGUGUUGAGUAAAGCGAGAUCGACUUAAUGUUUCACCGAACCAGUAUCGGACAGGUUGUUACCGAAGUCAAUUAGAUGACGACAGUUGCUGUCUUCGUCUAAUAGCAAGCUUCAAAGGCACAACGUACAUUAAUAAUUUAUACAAUAGAAUAAUAAAUAUUCUUAUAGUUAAUAUAAACAGUGUAAGUACAUUUGUA
This 1260-nucleotide unclassified non-coding RNA is filed under the name Bactrocera tryoni. RNAcentral describes it as "anionic trypsin-2-like, transcript variant X1". The record is from RNAcentral. Lineage: Eukaryota; Metazoa; Arthropoda; Insecta; Diptera; Tephritidae.